Molecule: ribosomal RNA, 369 nt
Filed under: uncultured bacterium
Lineage: Bacteria
Description: bacterial SSU rRNA
Rfam family: Bacterial small subunit ribosomal RNA
Source: RNAcentral
ACGGAGGGUGCAAGCGUUAUCCGGAUUCACUGGGUUUAAAGGGUGCGUAGGUGGGCAGGUAAGUCAGUGGUGAAAUCCCCGAGCUUAACUUGGGAACUGCCAUUGAUACUAUUUGUCUUGAAUACUGUGGAGGUCAGCGGAAUAUGUCAUGUAGCGGUGAAAUGCUUAGAUAUGACAUAGAACACCAAUUGCGAAGGCAGCUGGCUACGCAUAUAUUGACACUGAGGCACGAAAGCGUGGGGAUCAAACAGGAUUAGAUACCCUGGUAGUCCACGCCCUAAACGAUGGAUACUCGACAUUUGCGAUACACAGUAAGUGUCUGAGCGAAAGCAUUAAGUAUCCCACCUGGGAAGUACGAUCGCAAGAUUG